Mizuhopecten yessoensis (Yesso scallop) is the source of this 226-nucleotide long non-coding RNA. RefSeq lists it as uncharacterized. NCBI's taxonomy places the organism in Eukaryota, Metazoa, Mollusca, Bivalvia, Pectinida, Pectinidae. The transcript is spliced from 3 exons. The record is from RefSeq and is a predicted model, not a curated record.
AGGUGCCAACAAAGUACGAGAACAUGUACAGCAACAUAAAGCACGAAGGAAGAAGGAAAUAUUCCGGUAUGGUGACGGCCAUGGACGACAUGGUAGGGACCGUGACGGCCGCCCUGAAGGAGAAAGGAAUGUAUAUUGACACACUCUUCGUCUUCACUGCCGAUAAUGGUGGUGCGCACAUAUUCCAUGCCAGCAAUUACCCCCUGCGAGGGGCUAAAGUACAGUG